GUUGCGAAAGGUGAAUUAUGUAAACUUAUCAACAACUUGCACAAUGGGUUUCUCCGUGAUCGAAAAUUUCGACGAAUCUUCGAUUUCGUCCGCUUGCGACAUAGUCACAGAUUUCAAAUCAAUUUGAAUCUCCUUGAGGAACCCACUAACCAGAAUCAUAAACUGAACUGCGAUUACACGUGAAAGAAGUCUGGAUCCCGGAACGUUGAUCAAGAUCUUAUCAUUCGUGCUGGCAUUCGGAUUGUUCUCUGUUGCUAUGAUAAUAGCAGUGGCUUUUCACCUCCUGUGCUUUGAAGAAAGAAAGCCGACUGUGAAGGCUGUUUUACAAAGACAAAACAGACUUAAAAACAUUGACUAUACCCUGGUGUGACAUUCAAGAUAUCGAUGUUAUCUCUUGUGGUGAGAGAUUCCAUCGAAGCAGAUGAAUUCUGGCAUUUGCUAUGUAGGAAUUGAUGUUAGGUCUCACUUUGUAAAAGAAACAGAUAACUUGUAACUUAGUUAAGGGUUGAGAGAAAAUGAAUUACAGGUUUUUGUAGGAGAA
Molecule: long non-coding RNA, 541 nt
Organism: Stylophora pistillata
Lineage: Eukaryota; Metazoa; Cnidaria; Anthozoa; Scleractinia; Pocilloporidae
Source: RefSeq, a predicted model, not a curated record